CUACGGAGGGUGCAAGCGUUACUCGGAAUCACUGGGCGUAAAGCGCGCGCAGGCGGUCUUUUAAGUUGGAUGUGAAAGCCUACGGCUCAACCGUAGAACUGCAUCCAAAACUAUUAGACUAGAGUGUGGGAGAGGAAGAUGGAAUUAGUUGUGUAGGGGUAAAAUCCGUAGAGAUAACUGGGAAUACCAAAAGCGAAGGCAAUCUUCUGGAACACUACUGACGCUGAGGCGCGAAAGCGUGGGGAGCAAACAGGAUUAGAUACCCUAGUAGUCC
This 274-nucleotide ribosomal RNA is filed under the name uncultured bacterium. RNAcentral's name for it is "partial 16S ribosomal RNA". It matches the Rfam family "Bacterial small subunit ribosomal RNA", at positions 523 to 796 of the family's 1533-position model. The record is from RNAcentral.